UACGGAGGAUGCGAGCGUUAUCCGGAUUUAUUGGGUUUAAAGGGUGCGUAGGCGGGCUUUUAAGUCAGCGGUAAAAAUUCGGGGCUCAACCCCGUCCGGCCGUUGAAACUGGGGGUCUUGAGUGGGCGAGAAGAAGGCGGAAUGCGUGGUGUAGCGGUGAAAUGCAUAGAUAUCACGCAGAACCCCGAUUGCGAAGGCAGCCUUCCGGCGCCCUACUGACGCUGAGGCGCGAAAGUGCGGGGAUCGAACAGG
Molecule: ribosomal RNA, 252 nt
Filed under: uncultured bacterium
Lineage: Bacteria
Description: partial 16S ribosomal RNA
Rfam family: Bacterial small subunit ribosomal RNA
Source: RNAcentral